GUCAUAAGUGUAGUCACAUGCCACCCUGUGUUGUGAAACUAGAAGGCUGGCUGUCCACAAGAAUGAGGAAGACUGAUUCCAGAACCACAGAGGAGGCCCAGAUGAAAUCAUUUUAAAGGUCUUCUAACUUUUGUUUAAAGUUGAAUAUAACAUGACAGGCAGUAGGAAUUGCGGUGGCUGCACCUGCCAGGGCUGAGUCAGGCUGAAGACAGGAUCCAGGAGUUUCAUCCAGAUCCAGCUCUCCCACAUGGAAGGCAGGAGCCCAAACACUUGAGCCAUCUUCCGCUGCUUUUCCCAGGCCAAUAGCAGGGAGCUGUUUUGCAAGUGGAGCAGCUGGGACAGGAACCAGCACCCACAUGGGUGGCUUUGUAAGAAUUUCUUCCAUUAAAUAACCCCCAACCUUCAAUUGACAGAGGAAAGGUAGAUGGCUCUGGAUUUGGAGAAAUGUCCUUCCUGCAAAUGGAAUAAGCCUAUCUUAAAUUAUUUUGUCCACGGAGAGCAGGCCAUUGUUAGGAAGGAUGCUUGUGUGUUUCACACUGAGACUGUCCGUCCCUCUGCCAGUGCAAUGAGAGAUUCUUCAGUGUAAGAAGCUGGUGAGAAAAACACAGAAAAGCCAAGGAUACUACUAGAAGCAUUCUUCAAGAUUUUCUCAUUUUCAUUCUUGUCUAUACAUAGCCUCCAUCAAUCCAUCAAAAUCCCCAUUUAAAUGUUCUUGUCAGUUUAUGGCUCUAAUAACUUUAGCUCCAAGUAAGCAGAUCUUGGCUUUGUCCCUCUGAAUUUCUCUCUCCACGGUGACACUUUACCCUGUAAUUGCACUUCUCUGAUGGGUCCAAGAAAAGACAUUGAUUUUCAAUUUGCUCAAUGCUUUCUCAUUGUAAAAAUAGGUGUGUUGAUUUCCAAGCUCUUAAUAUUGUUGAAGCUGAAACAAGAACUCUGAAUCCCUCUUGAACAGUCUAACAUCACUGGAUGUGGACUGGUGUUACAAAGUGAAAUGUAUGUUUUACACUUUAUUUAACUUUGCAUUCAGUUUUGUGCUAAGCAGAGUAGAAUUGAGACUUGAAAGACUGCAAAGAAUUAGUGUUGUGUCAACAGAAAGUGACAAACUGUCCCAUACAUCAGGAAAAUGGCACACUUCAGUAAAUCAGAAGAAUCAGGGAAUAUUACUAAGUGUAAUAGUUUCCUAAAUAACAGAGGAGAUUUGUACAAUGCAAAAGCAUAAUAAUGUUUUUCAGUGUUAGAUGAGUGUACUUGUGUUCUUCAAUAAAAUUAUAACCUUAGACACAGCAUGCUAUUAUUCACACUACUGAAGAAUGUGAAACUCAAAAGAGAAACCUAUAAAUUUUCAUUCAAACAAUAGCACCACACACCUAAUUUAUAUGUCUACUCAUUUCCAAACACUUGAUUUUACACAGCUGCCUGGAGUUUUGGCAGACAGCCUUGGAAAGGCAGCCCGAAUAAGGAGAAGGCAAGUCUAUUUAACCCAGCCCAUUCUGAUUUUAAGCGUUCAAGAGCAAAUAUCUCUAGUGUUCAGGCAACAGAGUUGGGAGGAGAGAACCAUGGAUGAGAGAAAAAAAAUUCACCAUGACUGAAGCUAGACUCUGUGUUAUAAUUCCAGGUUUAUUAUUUUUUAGUUCUAAUAGAUGGAUUAAAAAGCAAGCCAGAUAGUAAGAGGGAAAAGGAAUUUUCUCCAUUUACUGCUAGGUUCAUGACCAAGGCUCCAGUCACAGAAGCAGACAAAUAUGAGAAAAGCACAUGAACUUCUCUCAAAUAAAUUUUGUGUGACAUGGGGGCCUUAAAAAAUGAGGAUGCCUCAAAAUUGGUAAAUAUGUGCAUUUGUAGGCUUAAGUUUGACAAGGAGUAGAAAGCCAUGCUGAAAUAUGAUUGGACAAAGGGAGUGUAACCUAAAGGCAAAAAGUUGGGCAGGGGAGGAUUUCGAUAAGGUCUGUGUGCUCGAAUUCUUCCUUGUGUUCACAUUGUCAGAGAAAGGGCGUUCCUUUCCUCUGGGUAUAGAAGGGUUCCUAUAUAACGAAGGUCAUGUGACAUUAGAAGAAAGUCAAUUAUUCCAUUGCCUGUUUUGGAGAAGGGCAGGAGAAGGUAAGCAAGAUCUUCCUGUUUCAGUUGUCUUCCUAAGUUCCAAGUUGCCAUAUUUUGAGGUAGCAUGUCUGGAACCACAUCACUUGGAAGAAAAGCUUGGACAGUCUGAGAAGUGACUCCUUACUCCAUCCUGGCUGCAUUUCUGGGAUAGAAUUCUCAGAGUUGUUGAGGUGUGUUCUAGGGCAAGAGUGCUAAGCAAUCCUUUUCCAAGACUUGAGGGGCACCAAAGUCUGAUGUAGUUUUAGGAGAUAUAAACUCUUGGCUGGAGGAAGAAAUUUAGGGGCAAAUCUAAAUUUUCUCGGAGAGAAUUUUUUUUUUUUCAGUAUAAAGCAAGAACUCAUGUCAUAGAUGUUGGAAAUAUCCCAUGUCUUUUGUAGUUAAACCUUAAGUUCAAGAAAUAAUUGUGCUAUUUAUCCUAGGAAAGAAGUGUGUUAUGGAAAGAGUCUUGAAUGAAACUCAAGAAAGACCCAUGCAACAUUCAACCAUUUUGAUAAACACCAGAUGCUGGCAUAAGAUAAGUGCUUGUAUGCUGCCUUCUAGUGAUCACAAAUAUUUACUUGCUGAAGGUUAAUCCCUAUGUGACUAAUGGGCUAAUUUUACCUUUACAUAUCAUUUAGUUUUUGUUGUUGUUGUUGUUGUAGCAGUUAUCAAACUUUGUAAAGUUGAUUAUGACUGUAUUCAUUCUUUUGUGUUUCUUAUUUUAUUAAACAUGAUUUUUGUCAUAUUUAUACAUAUUUUUAUGUAUGGUAUAGUUUGUUCAUUUUUUGUUAUUAUGUUCUUUAUAAUGUGAAUACACCGUGAUUUAGUUUAUCUGCCUCUUAUUGAAAGGUAUCUAUCUAUUGCAAACCACAUCAAAAUGCAUAUUUUUUUGACAUGCAGAGUGGACAGUGAGAGAGAGAGAGAGAGAGAGAGAGAGGAAGGUCUUCCUUUUCCAUUGGUUCACCCUGCAAUGGCGGCUGCGGCCAGUGUGCUGUGGCCGGCACACCGCGCUGAUCUGAAGCAAGGAGCCAGGUGCUUCUCCAGGUCUCCCAUGUGGGCACAGAGCCCAAGGACUUGGUUCAUCCUCCACUGCACUCCUGGGCCACAGCAGAGAGCUGGACUGGAAGAGGAGCAACCAGGACAGACUCUGGCACCCCGACCGUGACUAGAACCCAGGGUGCUGGAGCCAUAGGCAGAGGAUUAGCCUAUUGAGCUGCGGCGCUGGCCAAAAUGCAUAUUUUUAUAUGUGUACUUUCACUCAAUUUCUUAAAUCCUAUUUUUACCUGCCUUUGUGCAAAUAAAUGAAGACCACAAAAAGAAAUGCAAAGCUGUUUACUCAAAAUUAUUAUAGCAAGUGAGUCAGAAACAGAGUGCAGAGACUCAAGGCAAAUAGAGAAUGGGAAAUCUUUAAAAUGGAAGAAAUGCGGAUCCGGCUCAAAAGCCCAUGAGAGUAUUUCAGGAAUGGAAAGCCAAGACACUCUGGCAAAAAACAAACAAACAAACAAACAAACAAAAAAAAAACCAAAAACCAAAAACCAAAAACAAAAAACAAAAACAAAAACAAAAAACCCUAAAUGAAAGAUCUCCGCGAGCGAGAUCCCAGUGGAAAGAACGGGUCAUCAAAGAAGGAGGUACCUUUCUCUGAAGGGAGGAGAGAACUUCCACUUUGACCAUGGCCUCGUCUAAAUAUGAUCAGAGUCAGUGAACUCAGGGGGCUUCCAUAGCCUUGGCAGCUCAUGACAAGAGCCUAGGGUGAUUACUGAGGCCAUAAACAAGAGUGUCAAUUUGUUAAGCCAACAACAGGAGUCACUGUGCACUUAACUCCUCAUGUAGGAUCUCUGUCCUUAGUGUGCUGUACAUUGUGAUUUAAUGCUAUAACUAGUACUCAAACAGUAUUUUUCACUUUAUGUUUCUGUGUGGGAGCAAACUGUUAAAUCUUUACUUAAUGUAUGCUAAACUGAUCUUCUGUAUAUAAAGAGAUCGAAAAUGAAUCUUGAUGUGAAUGGAA
Oryctolagus cuniculus (rabbit) is the source of this 4081-nucleotide non-coding RNA. The record is from RefSeq and is a predicted model, not a curated record. NCBI's taxonomy places the organism in Eukaryota, Metazoa, Chordata, Mammalia, Lagomorpha, Leporidae.